GGCUUGAUAUUAGAAUGGAGAAGAAUCACUAAUGCUAUUACUAAAGUGGUCUUUCCUCUGCAGCGGGAAAAGCGUCUAAAUCUUUUUCUUGGAAUGGAAAGAAUCUAUCCUGUAUCACAGUCACACACUACUACAGGAUGAAUAACCUUUACAGAACCAAAUAUUCAGAAUGUGCCAAGAGAUUUUGAGAUCAAAAUGACAACACUAGUAGGAGAGAGUCCACCUUCCCAAGCCCUACUUCCCAUGAACAGGUAGAUGCUAUUUCUCUUUAUUUGUGUUAUAUACUUUUGUGAGUAUGAAAGCCUCAAAAU
RNAcentral lists this long non-coding RNA (311 nucleotides) under Mustela putorius furo (domestic ferret). Its description in RNAcentral is "lncRNA (ENSMPUG00000027814.1)". The record is from RNAcentral. Lineage: Eukaryota; Metazoa; Chordata; Mammalia; Carnivora; Mustelidae.